RNAcentral lists this ribosomal RNA (487 nucleotides) under uncultured bacterium. RNAcentral's name for it is "bacterial SSU rRNA". It matches the Rfam family "Bacterial small subunit ribosomal RNA", at positions 28 to 510 of the family's 1533-position model. The record is from RNAcentral.
GACGAACGCUGGCGGCGUGCUUAACACAUGCAAGUCGAGCGGUAAGGCCCUUUCGGGGGUACACGAGCGGCGAACGGGUGAGUAACACGUGAGGAACCUGCCCCAGAGACCGGGAUAACCCUCCGAAAGGAGAGCUAAUACCGGAUGUGCUCAUCGGAUCGCCUGGUCUGAUGAGGAAAUGGAUUCCGCUCUGGGAUGGCCUCGCGGCCUAUCAGCUUGUUGGGGGGUAACGGCUCACCAAGGCGACGACGGGUAGCUGGUCUGAGAGGACGAUCAGCCACACUGGGACUGAGACACGGCCCAGACUCCUACGGGAGGCAGCAGUGGGGAAUAUUGGACAAUGGGCGCAAGCCUGAUCCAGCAAUGCCGCGUGUGUGAAGAAGGCCUGCGGGUUGUAAAAGCACUUUCAGUAGGGAAGAAAGCCGAGUGCUAAUAUCAUUCGGUCUUGACGUUACUUACAGAAGAAGCACCGGCUAACUCCGUGCCA